GUAACCACACACUUUCCUGUUUGCACCCUCGGCCCGAAUCCGAAGCCCAAAUGCAACCAAUGUUGGGCCCGGCUUUCUUUGAGAUCGUAUACACAGCCAAAAUGGGGAGUGGUUUCCCCAUAAUCCUCUUAGCACCAAAAUAUAACAAACCCUAAUAUCCUUUUCCCUUUUCCCUUGAGAUCGAUGGCAGCCUUCAUCACCUUCGAAGCUCCCUCUUGUCGGCAACCGGCUACCCUCCGAAGACUCUCUCUCCCUCUCUGAUUUCGGUACCAUCAUCCCUUCACAACUCGUGGGUUUGGUUGAUUAACUGGAAUGGGUAAAUUGUUAAAUACCGAGCAAAUCCAAGGUCUAUAGGCUUAUAUCAUUUGGAACUUGCUGUCUCGGAGGCUGGAGUGGUCAUGGGUCGAGAUACAUGGAAUCUCAAUACAAGCUUAUGGUUUAUGUAUACAUGGUUUACGAAACACUUAACAAAUGAGUUAUGCUUCCGCUGUAUUCAAUGAAUGAUAUGUAACGUUUGUAACACUUUACGUUAAUGAAUGAAAGUUUUAUUUA
RNAcentral lists this long non-coding RNA (552 nucleotides) under Helianthus annuus (common sunflower). RNAcentral describes it as "hypothetical non coding rna". The record is from RNAcentral. Lineage: Eukaryota; Viridiplantae; Streptophyta; Magnoliopsida; Asterales; Asteraceae.